Long non-coding RNA from Homo sapiens (human), 996 nucleotides. Ensembl annotates it as long intergenic non-protein coding RNA 2253. Lineage: Eukaryota; Metazoa; Chordata; Mammalia; Primates; Hominidae. The record is from Ensembl.
GGCAAACAGCGCAGGUCCGCUUCCCGUCUGUGGAAGCUUUGUUCUUUCGCUCUUGACAAUAAAUCUUAAUGCUGCUCUCUCUUUGGGUCCAUGCCAUCUUUAAGAGCUGUGACACUUACAGCCAAGGUCCGGGGCUCCAUUCUUGAAGUCAGCGAGACCACGAAUCCACCGGAAGGAGCAAACUCUGGACAUGGCAUGUGCUUUUGCAGGAAGGACGCUGGACUCUUGCACUAUAAGUUGAAAACAUCGCUUAUAAACAAUACAUCACAGCACACUUGCAGAGAGAGCACUGGUUCAUCAAAAUAAGAUAUGAUCAAGGUACAAAAGAGUUAAAGAAGCUAUUUAUUUUAAUGUUUCCUUGGAGAGCACACUUGUUAUUGUAUGUAUGCAAAAGAUGAUCUUACUCUUGAGAGCCACUAGAACUCUUUGAAGAAAAAAAAAUGCUAUUUGCUAUAGGGAAAUCUUUCUGGAAAAGUAAUAAUUUCACCUUUGAGUCAGCUUCCCUGGACUCUUGCCUCAUACAUCUUCAGCCAAGCACCUCCCUCCCCUUCUUGCUCCUGUUUUUUCCAUGUGAAGAUGCCUGCCCCAGCUUUGCCUUCCACCAUGAGUAAAAGCUUCCCAAGUCCUCCCCAGAAGCAGAUGCUGGCGCUAUGCUUCUGGUACAGCCUGAAAAACCUUGAGCCAAUUAAACCUCAGUGAGCUCAAGAUGUCUUUGUUGAAACAGAACCUCCCGAAGUUACAGUAUUGGUUUUGGGGCUCCACACAGAGAACACAUCACGGAAGCUAUAAUUGAGGAAGACAAAGCUGUCAGGACGACACCAAGAGAGUUAGAAAGCCCAAGAGUGGAGCAUUCUUCACCAUGAUUCCACCUGACACUUGGCUGAAAGCAUUUUGCACUAAUUUGCUUUGUGCCCGUUCAGACAAUCUAAAAAGAAAGGAUGGGGGGACAACAAGUGUCUAUUACACAGAAUAAACAGCCUCUGGCAAAUGAAUACA